ACCGCCUUGGUUCAAGGUUCGAAACGGUCCCGAAGAGCCAGGGGACUGCCUUGUCGGCCUUCCCCGUGGAGAUUAAGACUGCGCUGACUUGGGCCCGGCCUGGCAGGCGGAGCUGCGGGGAGGCAGAUGUGAAGACUGGGAGUGGGGUCUAGCGGCCCGAAAGGAGAGCGGGGCAGGAAGGUUGCGGGCGCAGUGGAGCCUGCCUCCCCUCACUCUUCCCGUAUCAGAUUCUAGAUGAAAGGAAUGUUUCCGGGCACUCCAAGAAAUCUCCAAUAUCUCUCCACUUAGAUAGUCCAUUUUCUACUAUCAGCAUGUCAUCUCCAAAAGAUUCUAGAUGAAGAGAAUGUUUCCUGCAAACCAAGAAAAUUUCUUUAUUAUCACUCCAUUGGGGUCACCAUUUUCUACUGUUAACUCAUCAUCUUCACCAAAAGAUUUUAGACAAAGGAAAUGUUUUCAAGAUCUCAGAAAUCAGAAAUAUCUUCCCAAUGGGGUCAUCAUUUUCCAUUGUCCAUUCAUCAUCUCCAACAGAUUCUAGAACAAUAUAAAUAUUUCCUAGCACUUUGAGAAAACUUUUCCAAUAUAUCCCUAUGGGGGUUACCAUUUUGUACUGUUUGCAUUUACUUUGUGAAAACUUGUCUCCAGUGGGGCAUCCGUUUCUAUUGUCAGCUCAUGGGCCUCACAACAGAUUCUAAUGAAGGGAAUGUUUCUAGGCAUUCAGAAAAAACUCUUCCAACAUACCCCCAACAUAUCCAACAUGGGGACACUGUUUUCUACUGUCAGCUCAUGAUCUUCUUCAGCAGAAUUCAGUUGAAGGGAAAGAACAGUUGGAAAAAAAUUUCUUCAAUAUCAUCUCAUUGGGGUCACCAUUUUCUACUGUCAGCUCAUCAUCUUUACCAAAAGAUUCUAGACAAAGGGAAUGUUUCCAAAGACUUAGAAGUCUUCUCCUAUAUCUCUUCAUUGUGAAUUGCCAUUUUCUACUGUCCAAUCAUCAUCUCCAAUAGACUAGACAAAGGGGAACGUUUUCUGGCACUCAAGAGAAAAAUUUUCCAACACGUCUCUGCUGAGUUAGAAUUUUCUACUGUCAGCUCCUUAACAAAUUCUAAAUGAGGGUAAUGUUUCUGGUACUCCAAAUGAAUCUGUUCCCUCUGGAGAUAUAAUUUUCUACUCUCAGCUCAUGGAUAAAACAAAUGUUUCCACAGUCUCCAAGAAAACUUCUCCAAUCUCUCCCCACUGGGGUUACCAUUUUUUUUUUGUCAGCUCAUCAUCUUCCCCAAAAGAUUUUCAAGGAAAGGAAUGUUUCUAGAGACUCAAGAGAAAUCUUCUCCUUUAUCUCCCUACUAGGGUCAAGAUUUUCUAAUGGCAGCUCUCAUUUUUUCCAACAGAUAAAGGGAAAUUUGUGCACACUACAAAAAAAUUUCCAUUUUCUUUCCACUGAGAUAACCAAUUUCUGCUGUCAACUCAUCACCUUUUCCAACAGUUUUUAGAUUGAAUGUUUACAGGCACUUUGGAAAAACUUUGACUUGGCCCCACCAUGUCACCAUCUUCUAUUGUCAGUUCUUCAUCUUUUCUGAAAGAUAAGGGAAUGUUUUCAAGCACUCUGAGAAAACUUCUCCAACAUGUCUCUGUUUUCUACUGUCAGCUCAUCAUUUUUUCCAAGAGAUUCUAAAUAAGGACAGUGUUUCCUGGUGCCCCAAUAAAAGUUCUCCAUCUUGGCACCACUUAAAUCAUCAGUUUUUAUUGUAAUCUUUUCAAAGAGAUUAUAAAUGAAGGGAAUGUUUCUAGAGACUUGAAGCAAUCUUCUCCAUCCUAUCCCCACCAAGGUCACCAUUUUCUACUAGCAACUCAUCACAUCUUCUCCAAAAGAUUCUAAAUAAAGCGAACAUUUCCUGCCACACCAAGAAAACAUCUCCAGCAUCUCCCCAUUGAGGUCACUAUUUUCUAUUCUCAGCUAAUUUUUUCCAACAAAUUCUAGAAAACAAAAGUGUUUCCAAGCACUCUCAGAAAAUUUCUCUAAUAGGUCUACACCUAAGUCCUUGGUUUCUAUUGUCAACUCAUAAUUUUCUCCAAAAGAUUUUAGAAGAAAGAAUGUUUCCAACUACUCAGAAAACUUCUCCAGCCUUUCCCACUGGGAUCACCAUUUCCCACUCUCAGUUCGUCAUCCUCCCCCAGAUUCUAGGUGAAAGGAAUGUUUUUCAGGAACUCAGAGAAAUUUUCUCAAAUAUUUCUCCACUGUGGGUCAUUUUUUUUACCUUCAGUUCAUGUUCUUUUCUCAUAGAUUCCAGAUGAGAAUAAUUGUUCAUAACACUCCAUUAAAAUUCUUAAAAAUA
Antechinus flavipes (yellow-footed antechinus) is the source of this 2327-nucleotide long non-coding RNA. RefSeq lists it as uncharacterized. The record is from RefSeq and is a predicted model, not a curated record. The transcript has 2 exons. Lineage: Eukaryota; Metazoa; Chordata; Mammalia; Dasyuromorphia; Dasyuridae.